UUGCACACAAUACCUUGGACACCUCUAUCUCAUUUAUGUGAACAAGGCUUUCGAGGUCUAUAAAAAUAACUAAGUCUUAGCCAGGCUGUUUGCUAACCUUCCCAUCUCGGUCCAGGCAUUGACCCCAUCAUUAAUAGGCGACCAGACAGUAGGUUGCACACCUGAGCAUCAGCAACAGAAUUCUCCCAUGAUCAGUUAUUUGAUGCUACAGCGAUGGCUUCAGUUAUUGCAGCGCCUCCACUGGCAUAACUUGUAUCGUUAUCAUCAGCUCUUUGCCAUUCCGGAAUCAUCCCCCGACUGAGCCGUCAGGCAGUUGGUUUAACACGGCAGAUAACCUUCCAGGACUAAAAAGAUCUCGAAGAAAGUUUCAGAAUACAACUGGCGCUGUGGAUCCUGUUCUAUCGUUGCUACAGCUCACGUUUCAUUUAUGCGAUCCAGGGCUGUGAAGAGCAUUCG
RNAcentral lists this small RNA (456 nucleotides) under Histoplasma ohiense. RNAcentral's name for it is "hypothetical lncRNA". The record is from RNAcentral. Lineage: Eukaryota; Fungi; Ascomycota; Eurotiomycetes; Onygenales; Ajellomycetaceae.